CUUAAGCAGAUUGCUUAUUUAAAUCCUUGAAAUACACUAAUCUAGGUUACCGUAAUAAUUCAGAUCACUUGCUGCUCUGUAGUUGGAGGGCUGUGUCAGAUACUAAACGCUGACAUUCAGUGAAACACAAGCUCCUCCUGACACCACAGCUGGCUGCAAUCCUCUGCUGCUGUUCCUAAAUCCUAGGUUAACUUCUAACAUCCCACAUGAGCACAUGAACACUUACUGGCUGCUUCUGUCCCAGCACGCUCUCUGAAGUACAUUUUACUGCCUUAAGAUUUCUUGAAACAAGGCAGAAGUGGCUGUCAAUGCUUCCUAGAGUUUCAGUAAUACUAUGUUGAGAAUAAGUCUAAGUGCUCUCCAGAGGAAAUGCCAUUUAAGCUGCGCUGUCAUUUCACUGUACCUCUAAUUUUCUAUCAGCAAGAAGCCACUAAGCAGCCAACUCUUUCCAGAGGCCGUUGUAACAAAGAAGCUGAUGCAGAAGCAUUUACAUUCUGAAAUGACCUUACAUCUAGUUGUAGAAAAGAAAUCAGGAAAGGUUAUUUAACCUUUGUACUAUACCUUCAUCAUCUGUAGAGUGGCAAUCCCUCCAACCUCCUGCCAUACAAAGGGGUCAUACAAGUCCACCAAUGCCAGAAAAAUUUCAAGCUUCCAUCAACAAAAAACGCAAACUGUGACGUAAUAUUUAUCCUUCCUCACACUUCACACACAUGAAGGGCUCCAGACCAGAAACAGGCAGCCAAAAGCACUAUUUCAGCAGCCCCAACCCACAGCAGACACUUACCGCGCAAGAUCUUCAUCAAAGGAGUCCAUCCGAAUAUUGACCUGGGCCUCACGAGUAAUGGAAAAGGAGGACUUGCCAGGAGCCAGCCCAUCUCCUUUGGAACCUGGCUUCUCCUUUACCUCAGAGGCCUUCCUUGGUGGGGGAGAAGAGCUUUUUUCCUGGCUUGUUUUAUAAGUGGUCACCCUAAAAUUCUUUUCAGGAACAAAGCCCCGGUGACCCGGCUCAGAUCUCUUGGAUGCUGGCCUCUCUUCUUUUUUAGAUCUCUCAGAAUAGCUCUCCUCCUCCAUUUCCUCAGACUUUCUUUGCUUCUCUUUUCCAGGUGGCAAGAACACCACACCUUCCCAUUUGCCUUGCCUAUCCUCUUCUUGACUUUUACUCGAUGUUGCUACCACUUUUGACAUAAAUUUGGGCUCAUCAUCAAAAUCCGAAUCCUUACGGCCCUUUGCCUUUUCUUUCUUUUCCUGAUCAUCCGUUUCAUCUUUGCCAUAAUGACUUUCCUUGUGGAACUCCGGGGCCUUUGGCUUGUCAAAGUCAUCUCGGAACUUGUAGCGCUUGGGUGACUGACUGCCACGGUAUCCCUUCUCAGAAUCUGCUUUGGAUGCAUAGGAAUCAGAUUUUGCCUUUCCAUCUGUUGAUCCCACCUCUGAGAAAUUCCCUUUCUCUUUAUUUUUUUCCUUCUCAACAUUUGUUACUUUCUGAUCUUUGUCCUUCCCAUUCUCCGCCUUCUGCUCUUCCAGAUACCUCUUUGAGAAGGCUCCUCCGCCAGGAGCUGUGGUUUCCUCCUUCUGAGAUGUACCAUACAUGGAACUGAUUGGCGUUGGACUUUUGCACACAGGGCUCUUUCUUGUUGGACUCAAACCUGACGAGCCGUGGUCAAAUGGACUCUGAUGAGAUCCUGCCUGAAAGGAGGUGCUGCUCUGCGACGCAGAGCUCAUCUGAGAGGGGUUGGACAGUGGGGAGCUCGACUUCUGCAAUGGACUUGGCCGAGGAGAACGCCGCCUCACCACAACUGAUUGGAGAGGGCUUUUUAACGCAGGGCUGCGUUCCCUCGGGCUGAGCUCAGGCGCAGCAGCUCUCGAUGUUGAGCUGCUACCAUAGGUGGACACAUCUUGCCAUGGUUUUGAUCCCUCAGAUGCCUUGGCAUCUUGAGCAGCUGCUCCUGAAAACGGCUGCUCUUUAGAAUCAUCACCUUGGUUAUCUCCUGCAGCCUGAGAUGCCCGGGCUUCCUUGGAAGAUGACUUUUUCUCCUUUCCAGAUUUACGCUUGGAAGACUCAACUCGGCUAUGGUUGGAGGAAGACCGAGAAGAGGAAGACCUCCUCGACCGAUCAGAUGAUGACUUAUCAGAAUUUCUAGAAUGACUUCUAGACCUUGGGGAAGGAGACCUUCUCUUGGGUGAACGGGAGCGUGACCUCCCCCUACGAGGGCUAUACGCUUGGCGGUAGUUUUGCCAGUUAGACCUGUAGUUCCCAUAUCCUCCUCUGUUAUAUUGGCCCCACGGAUAGAACCCUCGAUUUCGGCCUCGGAAAUAAUAUGGUCUCCUGUAUCCUCUGUUAUGACCUCUGAAAUCCCGGUUCUGAUAGACUCUUGGAUGGUUCCUUUCCCUGUUAUGAGAUGGAGAAUAUGACCUUGAACGGGACCUAGAACUGAUAAAAAAACACAUAUUAUUAUUAUUGGUACCACUUAAUAUUUGAAGUCUCAUCUCCCACCUCCUGUCUCCCUCACUUAUUUUGUACACUCCAAAAAUUCUGAUAGAGAUGAAAUCCCAGUCCUUUGCUAGGAAAGUCAAACAAAUCACAACACACGAAUACAAGAAAGGCAGUACUGAGCAUAUGGUGCACUGCUCUAGAGAUCAAGUUCCAAAAGGUGAACCAGCUGUCACAAUUCCAAAGCUCCAACUCAAACUAACAGAGAGAUGCACUCCCCCGACAGCCUGACACCACGAGGUGGCAAUGUUUGGUGCUCCCUCUGCUCACUUCCUCCUGAUGUGAAAGCUCUGGCUAUUCAGAAAGAACGGAACUGAAUCCAAGACAAGUCCAAAGCCUGCAAGAGGACUGAUUUAAAAGACAAAAUAUUAAGGGGGAAUUGUAUCAAUGUCUCUUCCAUUUGAAAAUUCAGAACUGCAGUUGUGUAACUGCUCAGAAGCCCCACUGUAGCUCAGGUUUCAAUGCCAUCUUUA
RNAcentral lists this long non-coding RNA (2961 nucleotides) under Gallus gallus (chicken). The record is from RNAcentral. Lineage: Eukaryota; Metazoa; Chordata; Aves; Galliformes; Phasianidae.